CUGUUUUCGAGUCUAGCCAAA
RNAcentral lists this non-coding RNA (21 nucleotides) under Arabidopsis thaliana (thale cress). Lineage: Eukaryota; Viridiplantae; Streptophyta; Magnoliopsida; Brassicales; Brassicaceae. The record is from RNAcentral.